GCCUUCUUGGACAGAUUUAGUUUCCUUUAAUGCUGAGUUGAAUAGUUGGAUUAUCUGAUGAAAUUGCAUUCGUAGGGAGUUGUUGAUGAAGGCCUGUUUUGCCUUUGUGUACGACACAAACUCUGUUAUGUAUCAGAGUCUCAAAUCUGUGAAAUGCAGCUUGGAUAUCAACACUUUUCACUGGAAAACAUGCUAUGUUUGACCAGAAGGCUUCUGUCUGCUGUGGUCUCGUCCCUCACACAGCAGGUGUGCUAGCAUGGUGUCACUUGCUAGCAUCUGAGAUUUAAAAAAAAUAUGAGAAGAUGCUGAUUUUCACGCUGCCACCAGAUUUCCUGCAUUGUUGCCUGCAUUAAUCACCUGCAGGUUCACUGGGUGCAUUUCUAGUUAGCAGUGUAGUUUUAUUGCAAAGCUUUAAUGGAGAGGAGCUUGCACUGCAGAGGGAGCCUGUUAGUUUGUGUCCCUGCAAGUUAUGAAAUGGAUUUCUUUUAAGACUUUAAAGUGUUUUUUUUUUAAUGGAGCCCCCUCUCUCUGAAGACUGACCUUAAUAAGUAAUCACAAGAUAUUGUUUCAUUGAACCACUAGAUAUGCUUUGCACCACAUGUGGUAUGCUCUGUACCUGAGCAGCUUAUCUUUUAUCACAUAGCAAUGCCUUCAAAUGCAUACUUAGACUUAAAACGAUGUCAGCCUCUCUAUCCCACCAUCACUUCUGUGAGGGAGGCUUUCUUUUAGCCAGCACAGUUUUACCAGUGGCUGCUGUGAUAAGUGGGACUGCACAGCUGAGAUGUCCAUCAUGAGGGAUGUCCAUCUCUGAUGGGAGAUGCUGCUGUUAGCUGUGUUGUUUCUGCCAAAUGUAGGACUUGCUGGGUUGGAGUUGGUUUUGCUUCUUGGGUAUAACGGGUAGAAGCAUGGAUAGCUGCCUGCCAGCUGACACAGGAUCACUUGUCCAACAGGUGGAACACCUCCUCGUGUGUAGAGUAGUUAAUGGCUAAACAAGCUUUGUGGCGGGAGGAGGAAGAAUUUAGUGUGGAACAAGGGAUUGAAAUGGGAGUAAUGAAAUUGAGAAUAUCAGGAAAAACCUUCAUGGUGAGUGGCAGAAGCACCUUUGCUUGUCCUGUGAGCACUUGAUGUUUGGCUGGGCGAAGCCACUAAAACACAGCAGUGGGAACAGCCUCGUAGCAGACACAGGGGAGCAGAUGCCCUUCCCUCUGUCCUUAACUGCUGUUUUGUUUGGGGUGCCUGUGAGUGAACAGCAUGGGUCUGAGCCGCCCGCCCCGCUGCUGGCAGAGUCAGAGCAGAGUUCAGUGGCUGAAGCUAACAUUAAGAUUCCUGCUUCAUGCAUGCACUUGCGUUGCAGAAGUGUGCUUUAACACAUUAAACCCUGCUGUGCAGGCGAGGAGAUCCUCCUGGUGCUGCUGGAAUGAGGAAUGUGUGUGCUGGGCACAGUUCUGCAGAAAUCAGUGUUCCCUUUCUCAAGGGAACAAAAUUCACCAUGUUUUUUUAGUGAUGAACAGAUCUCAUUUUAUUUUAUUUUUUUUUCCCCUGCUUGUUUUCUUGUGAUGUUGACUCACUGAACUGAGCAUGCUCAGAGAUUAAAGCCGUGAGAUUAAAUCAGUAUUCAAUGUUUCUUUGAGGACUUCCUGUACUAAGUGGAGACAUUUUGGUGCUUGCAGUUUGCAAGUGCUUCCGAUUGGUGUCACUUUGAAACUGUUGCCACUUUGUAAUGCUUGCACUUAGUUUUCUGAUAUGUGGUUUGCAAGAGGAGCUCUGGCUGAUUCAAAGCCCCCAGCAGCUGUAGGAGAGGAAUAGGAAAGAUGGUGUGUUUCCAUCUGAGGGCACCCACUCCUGCUUUUUGUCUCACGCUGGCUAGAGCUCUGAUUCCUUUUGCCUCCCUUCAUUUGAAAGUUGGCUUUCCUUCUUGCAGGGUGGUUGACCUGCAUCACCUUGGUGCAAAAACCAGCUGGCCGUAGUCCUCAAACAGAACCUGGCUCACGGCAGCCCUUUCUGUAUUUUGUCUUGUUCUCUAUAGCUGAUAGCCAGGUGUUAGAUGGUGGCUGUUCAUGUGGGGAAUUUGAUGGCAUCGCUCAGUCCUUGCUUGGAGUCACAGCCCUCCUGUGAGCUGUGUGUAAUGGGAAGGGGGGGGUUGCUGUUUUCAUCUGGGGCUUGAGCUUGACUUAACACAGCUGGGAAGCAGAGCUGUUCUUCAGCAGCCAGCAGCGCUGCCUCUUGGCGAAUUGCUGUGAUGCUGUGCAGCUCCUUCUGCUCUCAGAACAAACCACUCCUGCUCUCCCAGGUGACAACUGUGGGAAACUGCUUUGCAGUUCAGUCCAUAAGCACUGGAUGUUAGCAAAGCAGAGCAUUUGCCACUGCGCUUUGUUUCCUGUUCAUCCUGUCCUCUAUCUUCUCUGUUCACCAGCAGGUUAGCUUUCUUGUCUGCACAGAUACCUGCUGAUUACUUCAGCAAGGCUCUGCUGUUUCGACUAGCCUGUAUGGCAGGUUAGGCAGAGCUGCAGUGGAUCUGCUGAGGAGCUGUUAUGUGAGGAAUCGAGGGAAUGCAGCACUGUCUUCUGCAGCCUGGGAAUCACUGGGGAAAGAAGCCCUUUGCUCUGUGUUUUUGGUUUUUUUUCCCCUUGGAAGGAAGGGAGCCUGCAGUGUUCCAGCAACUCUUUUCCUUCCUGAACCCAGUUUCUUAGGAUUCCUUUCUGUUAGCCUGACUGAUGAUGGGAUUCCUCAGAUAUUGCUGUUGGAGUUUGCUGACACAAGGCAGCAGUUGCUUCUCUCAAAUAGCUGCAAUGCUACAGAAAAACUUCUAUGCCACUCUACUACCAUGCUGAGGAAGGGCUGGUCUAAAUUUUAAUGGAAACCAGAUUAAUUCUUUGUUAAAUUCAGCUUAGAUCAUACUGCUCUCGAGUUUUUGCUCUUAGUGGUUGAGACACAGCAUCACAGAUCAGCAGAUGGAUGCAGGUAAAUAGUUUCCAAGCAAAUGUCCAGGUGAAACUUGUGUUAUGCUACGGGGGGCUGAUGAGGGAGGAGCCCUUUUGAUGCUUCAGAUGCUCAUGAACUCUCACAGGGCUUUCUUCUGCCCUUUUGCUUAAACCUUUGUUUCAUUGUGUAGAUGCCUGUCAUUGCUGCCAUGAUGACUUUAAGGAUUCUUUUUUUGUCUAAUUGUAGUCCAAAUGCGUAACAGAAUGUGCACCACAGCCUGGGGAAAUGGUAGGUCCAUGACAUGAUUUGGGCUAUAAAGGGGCUUCGUGCUAGUGAAUUUUUGCAUUAGAGAAAUGGAAAUAAAGAGUCUGACAAACCAGAGCUGCCAACAGCCUUAGGUGUAGGAAGCACGUCCCAGGACACAGUCUGUGCUUCAAAAAGAAAAUCAGGAAUGCGUAAAAAUGAUCGUUGCUAACAGCUCUAAAAUGUUUUUGUUCUGCUGAGAUACAAAACUCGGGCAGUAAGCGAUGCUGGGUUCUCAUUUUGACUUUUGCCUUGAUUUUCAGAAGGUGGCUGUAACGAAAAACAGUAAGGAACACAGACUAAAAGGAAACAAAGUGUCCUGUGCGGUGGGUUUCUCUCCAAGGCUGCUGUGACUCGUUGGGCGUAACAGCACUGCGUUUCAGUAUUUGUGCUUCUGUGCAAAAUGAGGUGGCCCAGCAGGUGCCAUUUUGCUGCUCCUCUCUGUCCUUCUGGUGUUCUCCCCCUCUCGAGUGUCAGUAGCAGUAGAAAGAGGACUGGUUGCUCAUGGAGUCGCAUCUGCUGCUUCCUUAAGAAUGACUUCAUGUAUUUCUGUUGUUGUUUUCUCCUUGCUAGCUGAACCUAACACACCAGCACGGGUGCAGCCUCACUACCAUUGUCUUGCUUGAUGUCCUCUAACAGAACUGAAGCACAGAAGCGUUUUUUAGUGCUUAGCAAAACAAGGAAACUUACAUGGUUGAAUCGUGACGAUCGCUCGUGGAAUCGGUGCCGUGGGGCUUCCAGCUGGCAUCGUGAGCCACCCCCAAUUUGUGCCUUCCCAAGCCUCUCACAGAUGCAGUUUGCACUGUUCUUAGAUAUACCCUUAAGUGAGACUUUCUGGAUGUGGUGCCAACUGUUAAAUUGCAGUUGAUUUCCUUAAAUUUGUUUUCCUCUGCUGCUCCUGCCAAGCUCUGACUUCUGUGGUUUCAACUUGACGCUUACCAAAAUGGUUUUUUUUAGCUGCUGUCAUUUGCAGUGGCUGCUUGUUUGAAUUUCCUUCUUGCAGGAUGGCAAAGUAAUGUCACCUGCUGAUUCUUAAGCACCUGAAUCUUUGCAGUGUUGUCCUGAACAGCAUAGCAUAGAAUGGCCUGAGUUGAAAAAGGGCCACAGUGAUCAUCUCGUUUCAACCCUCUGCUGUGUGCAGGGUCGCCAGCCACCAGACCAGGCUGCCCAGAGCCACAUCCAGCCUGGCUUUCAAGUAUUUCAGCUGUAGCUAAUGGAGGCCCUUCAUUAGCAGCCCCUAAAAUGGUACAAACCAAACAGUUUUAAGUCUUUGAAACGCUGACAGUGAUGGCUAAUUAGUUAUUACCAUGGAGUGUGUUCAUCCCAAAUGCUGAACCUUGUCCUCCAUGUGAGCUCAAGCUUAAGUUCUCUCUCUCCUCUGUGUGUGGAGAUACUAGAUGGCUGUCAUUCUUUCACUGCUGUGUCAAGUAAAUUGGCAUGGAGAACUGACAGCUAUCACUGCAGUCCCAGUGCUGCGCUGGGAGAAGAGCUGUAUGCAUGUUGAGGUGUCAGAGACCUACCCUGGGCAUCGCCUCACUUUAACAGUCUGUUGCUUUGGAUGCUUCAGAUCACAUUUUAGAAUAAAAAACACCUGACUUCUAGCAAAAUGCUUUGCAUGGUGCUUACCUAAAAUGUCUGCUGAACCAGAAGUGAUUCACGUGAGGCUGGUGCAGCUUUUUUCCCCAGGCCCUGCCUGCCUUUACUGACGCGUGCGGCUGUGCAGGGACGUUCUUUAUUUUCCAGUUCUCGGAUGAAUUCAGCAAACUUCACUAGUGCUAAAAUGUGGGUCACGGGGACAGAGCUGAUGGGCUUAAAGCACGAGGUUUGAACUGGAGUCCUCCAGCAGCGAUAGCGGCAGCAGCAGCAGCAGCUGCAGCAGCAGUAGCAUCAACAGCCCUGACAGAGCGAGCGGCCCAGAACCCAGCCUGAAC
This is an RNA transcript of Tympanuchus pallidicinctus (lesser prairie-chicken), 5156 nucleotides long. It is a transcript of the gene named family with sequence similarity 104 member A, with no coding region annotated. The record is from RefSeq and is a predicted model, not a curated record. The transcript has 2 exons. NCBI's taxonomy places the organism in Eukaryota, Metazoa, Chordata, Aves, Galliformes, Phasianidae.